CUACGGGGCGCUCCAGUCGAGAAUCUUCCGCAAUGGGCGCAAGCCUGACGGAGCAAUGCCGCGUGAGGGAUGACGGCCCUAGGGUUGUAAACCUCUGUCAGAAGGGACGAAGAACGUGACGGUACCUUCAGAGGAAGCCAUGGCUAACUACGUGCCAGCAGCCGCGGUAAUACGUAGAUGGCGAGCGUUAUUCGGAUUUACUGGGCGUAAAGGGUCCGUAGGGGGUCUGCCAAGUCUGAUGUGAAAUCCUGCGGCUCAACCGCGGAACUGCAUUGGAAACUGGCGGACUAGAGUGUGCGAGGGGUGAGCGGAAUUCCUGGUGUAGCGGUGGAAUGCGUGGAUAUCAGGAAGAACACCGAUGGCGAAGGCGGCUCACUGGCGCAUCACUGACCCUGAGGGACGAAAGCGUGGGUAGCAAACAGGAUUAGAUACCCUAGUAGUC
RNAcentral lists this ribosomal RNA (442 nucleotides) under uncultured bacterium. RNAcentral's name for it is "partial 16S ribosomal RNA". It matches the Rfam family "Bacterial small subunit ribosomal RNA", at positions 339 to 795 of the family's 1533-position model. The record is from RNAcentral.